Non-coding RNA from Anoplopoma fimbria (sablefish), 608 nucleotides. Lineage: Eukaryota; Metazoa; Chordata; Actinopteri; Perciformes; Anoplopomatidae. The record is from the annotation of a RefSeq genome assembly.
AUGACUUUGUAUCACUGUGGUAACACGUUUUUGGAGGAACCAGACUGGAUGUUGGAAGUUUUUGUACGGCGGCUCAAUGACUUUGUAUCACUGUGGUUGACUUUUGGUGGAGGAACCAGACUGGAUGUUGGAAGUGAUGCCCGUCCCACCCUGACGGUGCUGCCCCCCUCCAGUGAGGAGCUGCAGCAGGGGAAGGCCACGCUCAUGUGCCUGGCCAACAAGGGCUUCCCCUCAGACUGGAGUCUGGCCUGGAAGGUGGACGGCAGCAGCAGCAGCAGCAGCAGCAGCUGGGAGGAGAGCAGGAGCCCCGGGGUGCUGGAGAAGGACGGCCACUACAGCUGGAGCAGCACCCUGAGGCUCACUGCAGACCAGUGGAGGAAGGUGGGCUCUGUGACCUGUGAGGCCACCCAGGGCUCCCAGGCUCUGCUCUCAGAGACACUGAGGAGAGACCAGUGUUCCCAGUCCUGACCUGACUCACUGGGACUCUGCUACUGGUUUCAGUCUCUGCAACUCUUCCUCUCUUUUCAUACAAGAUUUAAAAAGUGAUAUUUUCUUGCUUAUUAAGAUGCUGACAACCUUUUCAGAUAAUAAAGAUGUUUUCCUUCAAA